AUCCUAGGGUGUGCCUGGAGGUGGCGGAGUGUACCGACGCGGGUGUGAGCGCGUGUGCCAGCGAGGGUGGGCACGGGGGUGAGCGUGGCAAGGGCAGCAGCACCUGCUUGAGACCAAGCCCGGCGACCUGGCAAGGUGGGGCCCCCUACCGCGCAAUCUUUGCGGCUGGCCCCCGGCUCUCAGCUCCGAGUGCAGAGGCUGAAGAGGUACCCGGGGGACACACUGCCUCUAACCCCACGUAUGAGCCGCUCUCCUCUCGGAGGGCGAAGGCACCAUCGGAAGGUCGAGAUUCGCCCUCCUCUCCCGCCACGUCUACCCACUACCCAGACCGGGAGUCUGGACUUGGGAGCGUGAACUCUCACCCGAGCCGGUCCCCUUACAACUGGAGCCCGCCCAGCCCCUCAGUCCCUCCCUGAAGCCCAUGGGUCCCCACUGCUCCGUGCCUCGUCUACCCAGGAUGGGGAGUGGGAAGGUCAGCAUGUGCCCACAGGGCCAGGUGUCCGGCCCAGAUUCCCACCCUCAGGGCGGCGGCGCGCAAAGGGCGCAGUCCCCGCCGCUGGGCGGACCCGCGGCUCCGGCUUUCCCGGUGUCUCCAGCCUCGGUGCCCGGAAUCCUGGAUCUCGGCCUGGCGCUCCGGAAGCGAGGCAGCUCCGUGCCCCAGCAGGGACGGGGAAUGCUUGGCUUGAGAGAUCACAUUUCUGGGUGUGGAGAGGUUUGAACUCCUGUACAUUCUCACUGUUGUUUAGCAUCUUGGGGGCAGCUCAGGGGUUGAGUGCCCCCCUCAGUGUUUGGAGGCUUCAGGAGACAGUUGGGCACAUCAUUUCUCCUCAGAAAGUCAACUAAUGGGACAGUUGUGGCCUCCUGAGACUCGUAAGCUCCGUUUGAAGACCAGACACUGGUCCAGACACCUGCCCCCUCAUUCCUCAUAAGCUCGUAACUCAUUGCUUAAGUGUGGUAGCUGUAGACUAUUCUCUCCUUUCUGUCUUAACCAUCUAGGGAAAAUAGGAAAGACUGGGAUUUCUAGUCUAGGCCAGUGUGGGUUUUGUUUACCAGUCCUUCCUACAACCAGGUGAUCUGCAAAAUGAGAGCAAGCGAUGGGGAGAAAGGAGGCCCCUUGAUUCGGGCAGCUGGAGUAGUCCUGCUGCCCAGGAGAUGCUGUCCCUCCCACCAGUCCCCAGUCAUCUAUUGCAUCUUUCCAGCACUGCCUGUCCUCACCUUCCCCCUCUGCCUCUGGUCCCGGCCUGGCCGGGAUUUUCACUUGCUUUUCCCCCAUGACACGGCCGCUUUUCCUUUAACUCUCAGCUUCUAUUUAAAAAGCUAAUUUGGGAGCUUGUCGAUGCUCCCAAUUCAGACAUUUUAAAUAGGAACUGAAAGUCAGUAGCUGCCAGGGCACUAGAUUUCCUCCCGUUGCCACCAGCACAGCUGAGGCAUUUGUUCAGUCACUCCUCUGGCCCUGGCCGUGUGUGUCUGUGUGUGUGAGCACCCGCGAGCUCAGGGUGUAUUUCAGGCUAUCUUUUCUAUUUAAAGACGGUGCUCCUAUGGAUGACUAUUCUUUCUCUGUGUGUGUGUCCUUUCCAAGCUGUGCACACAUGAGGAUUCUUCUUUAGUCUCAUGGCUGUGGCCGGUAUUUGCAAAGCUUGUCACCGUGUGGACUGUGAGGGUAAUUGGGAGCCCAGCUCAAAGUCGGCUGCUUCUUUGCUGACGUGCCAGGCUAGUGUGUCUGCGUGGCUGUUUCCCAGGGCUGCUCUGUUCAGGCUCUCUCUUUGAAGCUAUGCCUCAUAUGCCUGAGAAUGUCCUUAGGGGUCACUCCCACCCUCACUGUUUAUAGCUGUCCCAUUUUAGCAAUCUGCCCCAUGCUGGGGCAAGAAUUUUGGGGGUGGGCUGUACCUCUGAGGGUUACAGCCUUUCUACAUUUAGGGUGCUAUGUACCUUAGAAGUAAAAAGUACAGACUUUGAGGUGAGACUGCCUGGGUUUGAACCUGCGUCUGCUGUUAAUUAGCUGUGUGAUCAUGUGGAAGGUACUUAAUCCCUCUGUGCCAUGAUUUCUUCCUCUCUCAAAUGGCAAUAAAUAAUACUAUCUACUUUAUAAGGUUGUGAAAAUUAAAUGAAGUAACACAGAUAAAGUGCUUAGAAUCGUGCCUGGAACAUGGGAAGUACAAUAUAAUUGUUGGUUGUUGUUGUUCAAGGUAGGAGUGGUGCAGGCAGGAGGUGCAAAGAAAUCUGUCUGAGGAGGAAGAUAGAACUGCCGGAUUGUACACAGAGACACAUAUAGUCACUCACCCACCCAUGCAUGUAACAAUAAAAAUGGCAGGCCACAGCCCACAGGCAGUCAAGUUCACCUUGCUGAGAUAGUUAAUUCUGUAAGUCCCAGAAAAGGGAGAUUUCUGUUGAAGGAAUAGAGGAAGUCUAGGGAUAGAGAUGAGGAAGGGGCUUGACCAUGUCAGAAGCCCAUGGGACAUUUCUUGGGAGCCGAUUUUAUGCUGAAGAGUAAGUCCCGGGACCCUCACUAUCCAUGUGGUCCCAGCCUCCCUUAUUUAACCACUGAAAGCAAGGCCUUUUGAAAGUGAGCUCCAGCGAGAAACUCAGGAGGGUGGCACCUCAUUCUCCCCAAGGCUCCCCUUGAGUUUGGGGUACUCUCACUUUCAUACUGCCAUUGCGUUCCAUCCCUUAUU
This 2672-nucleotide long non-coding RNA is filed under the name Pan paniscus (pygmy chimpanzee). RNAcentral describes it as "lncRNA (ENSPPAG00000045384.1)". Lineage: Eukaryota; Metazoa; Chordata; Mammalia; Primates; Hominidae. The record is from RNAcentral.